This 1540-nucleotide long non-coding RNA is filed under the name Musa acuminata (dwarf banana). Its description in RNAcentral is "long non-coding RNA (MACU_LNC009232)". Lineage: Eukaryota; Viridiplantae; Streptophyta; Magnoliopsida; Zingiberales; Musaceae. The record is from RNAcentral.
AAGAAAUUGGACAAAUAUCAAUAAGAAAAGGGCUUAGUAGAGAGGGUUAAACAACCACAAGCUAAUCUAUUGUUAAGAAUGUUUAGUGAGUUCCUACAUGUAAGACACUAAUCAUCAAAGCAACAAAUGUUCUCGACUCAGAUGAAUACAUACACACAGUUGUUCAUCAAGAAAUAACAAACAACUACAAGCUAAUCGAAUGUUAAGAAUCCUAUAGAAACAUCAGUUCUUGGCUCUCAAACAAGAGAUUUCUGGCACAACACCAUCAUCCUCGGUCGUCAGCUGUGCAUUGAAGCAGAAGGCUGCUGCUGCUGCCUUCGUCGAGGCCUCUACAGGUCGCAUGUCGACUCCAUCCAUGGUGGUUUGGCUGUAGGUUGGAUGUUGGCUCCAUCCACGGUGACCGGCCGAUGUCUUCACCACCAUGCAAGCAAAAGAGCUGAGGCAAACGAAAGCUUUUGGUAGAUUCAAAACUAUCAGUUUAAGCUGCUGCAGACAUCUGCAUAGUAACAACUAUUCUUGUGAUCAAAUUGUUAGAACAAAUAUACGAGGAGUCGUGGGGAUAUAGGGAGAGUCAAUGUGUUCGAAGCUUCCUUCACUCCACCCAAGAAGGAAGGAUGAUGUCGCCACCACCUCUCCUCGGGUGGAGAGAAGGCAUCUCCGAUCACCCCUACCUUCUUUCUCCACCUUCAGAAAUGGGGCGAGCGGCAUUGAUUUUUGGGAUUUGCCAAACAUCCGAAGACCACCAUCUCCGGAGGGAGAAGCUACUACCGGGAGAAGGAUGUGGUCAUCUAUUUCAAAACGUGACACGUAUGGGUAUAGCCGCACGUGUGUCACGUAUUUGGUAACGCGACACACACGUAUAUGUAUCACGCAUCAUGUUGCUUGAUCCGACACGCGUAGCUUCGCACACAUUUUUUUAAGAAAAAAAUGUUAUUCAAUUGGUAUAGAUAAAAACAGUAAAAUCCUAUUUGAUAUUUCUACAGAAAUGAAAAAAAAUUAUUACAAUGGAUCAAUUUGUUUUCUCGGUAGGUAUUAGAAAAAAAUAUCAAUGACGUCAGAUAUGACACUUAUUCCCCCUCCACCCAUUGACUAUGACUUGUCUACAAUAGGAAAGGAUCUCAUCUUCUUAGACAUCGUUCAAUUCAUGAUACUAUCUUAUAGUGUUAAAUAUUAUCAUGCUAAUAUCACCACAAACCAUAAACUCUUCUAUGUCUACUUUCCAUUGUAUAAGGGAUAAAGUGGAUGUUACUUGACUACUUUGGAGGGCUUUAAAAUUAAUGGUGCUCCAACCAACAACACUAUCUGGCUAGCUGGUGAUGCAUUAUUGGGCCUCGUCUAACUAUCUUACUAAUUUGUCCCCUCGAGCUUCCACCUUAAUGACAAAGGUGGAAUCUCUUCUCUCCCUCCUCAGCCUCUCCACUUUCUCAUGAUAGUGACAAUGAUAACUCAUCUGCCCAAGUAUUUCUUAGAAAAUAUACCAUUGAUCUUCAGGGAUAUCUUGAUGGUACUUCGACAUUUCUACACACAAAGAUUAGAAUCA